Molecule: ribosomal RNA, 654 nt
Filed under: uncultured Sebacina
Lineage: Eukaryota; Fungi; Basidiomycota; Agaricomycetes; Sebacinales; Sebacinaceae
Description: eukaryotic LSU rRNA
Rfam family: 5.8S ribosomal RNA (bases 235-388)
Source: RNAcentral
CUUGGUCAUUUAGAGGAAGUAAAAGUCGUAACAAGGUUUCCGUAGGUGAACCUGCGGAAGGAUCAUUAAUGAUUGCGAAUGGUUGCCUUCGGUGCUGGCUCUUGCAAGUGCACGUUGGUGGCUUUCAUCCAAUACCCCUGUGAACCUUUGGCCUCUUGCUAGCUUCGGCGUGCAGAGGAUUUUUACACACUCGAAUGUAAUGAAAACUAUUGUCGUGCGCAAGCACUAAUGUACAACUUUCAACAACGGAUCUCUUGGCUCUCGCAUCGAUGAAGAACGCAGCGAAAUGCGAUAAGUAAUGUGAAUCGCAGAAUUCAGUGAAUCAUCGAAUCUUUGAACGCACCUUGCACCCUUUGGUAUUCCGAAGGGUAUGCUCGUUUGAGUGUCAUUGUACUCUCACACUCUCUGAUCCUUUGGAUUCAGGGAGUGGUGGACUUGGGUGUUUGCUGCUUUCCCGGUGGCUCACCUCAAAUGCGUUAGUGCACCUCUUGGUUGGACAUAGUACGGCGUGAUAAGUAUCUUCGCCGGCACCUCGCAAGAGGGUGGCCGAUUGGGAGCUCUGUGCUUUCAAACCGUCUUCGGACAAUCUUGACAACUUGACCUCAAAUCGAGUAGGACUACCCGCUGAACUUAAGCAUAUCAAUAAGCGGAGGA